CACGAAAUUUACAAAGUAACAAUUUCAACAAUAAGAGUAAUAUCCAUUACAACCCCAGCCAUAUACAAUCGUGAACAUCAAAUGCCCAUAUAAUCUCUAAAUAUAACCGAGGAGUAAAACUUACAAAAUAAAACCAAACAAGCCCACUAGAGCGCUAAGGAGUGCCUACGCGAGCAACUAAUAAAAGUUAGAUAAAAUCUAUGCUUUCUCCAAUUCCCACUCUCAUGUUCUUACCCCUGUAAGGAAAACAAAUUUAUGAAAUGAGCUAGAAACCCAAUGAGGUUCCAAGAAAAUAUGCAAGUAAACCAGCAUGCAUGACACAAAACAUAGUGAAGUAGGUAAUUAGAUAGAUCAUGCAAUAAUGUACAGUAAAUAUCACAUUCAUAUCAAAGGAUACAGUCUACUUCCAGGAGCAGGCACCAUGGUAGUUUAUCUAAGGUCCAUUGACACUCCGUCAACCACGAAAUUAUAAUGUCCGUAGAUCACCACUAAAUGUCAAUCUCCAUCAAUCAAUCAUCUCCCUACUGGGCUGGAACACCAAACAAGUACCAGGGUUCGUCAAUCUUCUCGAUCAAAUCCUUGCUGGCUCGAUUCGACCAACUAGCCAUGGGUUAGGCUUACAACCCCCAAGUAUUCAAAUAUUCAUGAUCUGGAUCCUAAGUAUUCAAGUAUUCAUGAUAUGGGAUUAAAAUCUCAAUUAUUCAAAUAUUCACGAGUAAAGUCAUUGGCUAUCACCCAACGCUCACGCAAGUAAGGAUUGGAGACGUUAGCUAUCACCUAAUGCUUCGUAUUCAAGCACGUCAUGAGUUCAAAUCAUGAACAAACAGGUUAGGAACUUUAUCCUUUACCCAAGGUGCCCAACUUACCCGACCGCUCUAAGGUUGGUCUCAAACAAGAGGUCUAACAAGGGCUCGAUUCAGCCGUUAUUGACCUGUAUUCACACAUACGCAUGAGUAACCCAAGUUCCCACUUAUCCGACAUCUCGGAUAAGGGUCCAAAAGCCCAGUUCAACCAUUGUAAGAAGAUAUGCUAGUUAUCUACAAUCAUAUACAUGUAUAUGCAAGUCCACACGCAAGAUCAAGUAUUUCAAGUUCACGGAGGUUGAGUGCGAAUAAGGACACACUCGCCUAGCCAAGAUCAAGUCACAAGUAGGUUCAGCAUGUCACAUUGUUCAAGAAUUUCAAGUCAAGAUAUGGGUCACAUGUAAAUCAAAUUGCUUUUACAUGCAUGAACAAGAUAUCAAGAGUUUAGUCAAGUUAGAUCAAGUGCGAUAAAAUACACACUCAUCUAAGAAAUGACAAAUCAAGUGCCUAACAAUUUUAGCAACAAGUAGCAUGGAACAUACAGUUAGAACACUCACCAGUUCAAAAUAGAACACCGUUAAACAUUCAUCUCCGAGUUAUGCUCAUGUUCACUAUCAAACCCUAGGAGCAACUAGGACAAAAAUAUGAUUGUACAAUCGUUCAAAGUUUAGGUGAACCAAAUUCACAUUUUAGGCUCAAUUAUGAGUCAUACACCUAUCCAAGUUGGCCUCCUAAAUUCACAAGGGUUUAAAAACAAAUUUGAAGAUGCAAAUCAAGAAAAAUCCAAGCACAUACUAGGGUAAUGAUUCAAUUAUAGUUUUGAAGUAAAAAGAAAGCAUUUGGACCCAAAAAAUAUGAGCAACCAAAGAAUUCUACAUUUCAUUUCAUUGCUGGAAAUUUCCAGCAACCAUACCGAAACAAGAAGUCUAGCCACAAAAGUCAAGAUUUUCACCAUAAAAACUCACAUGCUUGCUAGGAUUGAAGUCUUUUAAGAUAUAUGGGGUCAAGAUAUGCCAAUUUAUAGCCAAAGUUUUAGAUGUAAAGUUGGAAACAUCUCAGCUUC
Molecule: long non-coding RNA, 1866 nt
Filed under: Coffea arabica (coffee)
Lineage: Eukaryota; Viridiplantae; Streptophyta; Magnoliopsida; Gentianales; Rubiaceae
Description: long non-coding RNA (CARA_LNC007501)
Source: RNAcentral